CGAACGCUGGCGGCGUGCUUACCACAUGCAAGUCGAACGGAAAGGCCCUGCUUUUGUGGGGUGCUCGAGUGGCGAACGGGAGAGUAACACGUGAGUAACCUGCCCUUGACUUUGGGAUAACUUCAGGAAACUGGGGCUAAUACCGGAUAGGAGCUCCUGCUGCAUGGUGGGGGUUGGAAAGUUUCGGCGGUUGGGGAUGGACUCGCGGCUUAUCAGCUUGUUGGUGGGGUAGUGGCUUACCAAGGCUUUGACGGGUAGCCGGCCUGAGAGGGUGGCCGGCCACAUUGGGACUGAGAUACGGCCCAGACUCCUACGGGAGGCAGCAGUGGGGAAUAUUGCACAAUGGGCGGAAGCCUGAUGCAGCAACGCCGCGUGCGGGAUGACGGCCUUCGGGUUGUAAACCGCUUUCGCCUGUGACGAAGCGUGAGUGACGGUAAUGGGUAAAGAAGCACCGGCUAACUACGUG
RNAcentral lists this ribosomal RNA (466 nucleotides) under uncultured bacterium. RNAcentral describes it as "partial 16S ribosomal RNA". It matches the Rfam family "Bacterial small subunit ribosomal RNA", at positions 30 to 507 of the family's 1533-position model. The record is from RNAcentral.